RNAcentral lists this ribosomal RNA (358 nucleotides) under Uranoscopus albesca (longspine stargazer). RNAcentral's name for it is "partial 16S ribosomal RNA". It matches the Rfam family "Bacterial large subunit ribosomal RNA", at positions 1976 to 2485 of the family's 2925-position model. Lineage: Eukaryota; Metazoa; Chordata; Actinopteri; Uranoscopiformes; Uranoscopidae. The record is from RNAcentral.
UUAAAUGGGGACCUGUAUGAACGGCACAACGAGGGCUUGACUGUCUCCUUUUUUAAGUCAAUGAAAUUGAUCUCCCCGUGAAGAAGCGGGGAUGAAACCAUAAGACGAGAAGACCCUGUGGAGCUUUAGACACUAAAACAGCCCAUGUUAUAAUGGCCCCCUUACAAAGGAUUGAACUGAGUGAGGCCUGUCUUGAUGUCUUAGGUUGGGGCGACCCCGAGGAAUGAAAUAACCCCCGGGUGGACGGGGCACUAUACCCUAAAAACCAAGAGCCACCCCUCUAAUUAACAGAACUUCUGACCAAUUNGAUCCGGCNANACCGNUUAGCGGACCAGUUACCCCAGGGAUANCAGCGNAA